RNAcentral lists this long non-coding RNA (488 nucleotides) under Mytilus galloprovincialis (Mediterranean mussel). Lineage: Eukaryota; Metazoa; Mollusca; Bivalvia; Mytilida; Mytilidae. The record is from RNAcentral.
UUUUUUUAUUAUUUUUUUUUUUUUUCUUCCGCCUAAAUUUUUUUCUUGCGUAGUAUUGAUGUUUCAAAAGAUGUCGCUUAGAUAUUUGGAAUAUGAUAUCGUAUAGUUUAUACGCUUUAAAAAUUUACAACUGCGUAACAAAAUACUUUACGUUGUAAGAGUUAUCUCCCCAAACACUGUUUUUCUUGUGCCACUACUCCUUCGCAACCGUAAAAGAUUACGACAAAUUUAUUUUACCAAAUUGCUCGUUACAUCUUCAGGAUUAGGAUAUUCAUUUGGACCGAAGCUAUCCGGAGACUCCAUAUGAGAGUUAUUUCCCCUUAUGCAUUUGAUAUAAGUGAUAUGCGUUUCUAACUGGUAAACCAUAAGUGAUAUAGGCCUAGGGUCUUUGGAUUUAAGUUCCUUGGUCCAAAAAAAUGAAAAUAAGGUCAAGGUCAAAGGUCAAGGUCAUAUUCUAAAUUUUGAUUUUGGCUUAUUUUCUCUUUAUU